AUGAGGAAGAGACAAGUGGUUGUGAGAAGAUCAGAGGAACCACAAAGGAGUGUUGUGAAAUAUGGAGAGUGUCAGAAGAAUCAUGCAGCUAAUGUUGGAGGUUAUGCAGUUGAUGGUUGCAGAGAGUUCAUGGCAAAUGGUGAAGAAGGUACAGAUGGUGCUCUGACUUGUGCUGCUUGUGGUUGCCACAGAAACUUUCACAAAAGAGAGUUAGUUGAAACUGAAUCUGUUUCUGAAUGUUCAAAUGGUACUUGA
Vicia faba (fava bean) is the source of this 255-nucleotide non-coding RNA. The record is from the annotation of a GenBank genome assembly. NCBI's taxonomy places the organism in Eukaryota, Viridiplantae, Streptophyta, Magnoliopsida, Fabales, Fabaceae.